This 1228-nucleotide ribosomal RNA is filed under the name metagenome. Its description in RNAcentral is "bacterial SSU rRNA". It matches the Rfam family "Bacterial small subunit ribosomal RNA", at positions 279 to 1498 of the family's 1533-position model. The record is from RNAcentral.
ACGGCUAGCUGGUCUGAGAGGACGACCAGCCGCACUGGGACUGAGACACUGCCCAGACUCCUACGGGAGGCUGCAGUCGAGGAUCAUUGGCAAUGCGCGAAAGCGUGACCAUGCGACGCUGCGUGGAGGAUGAAGGCCUUCGGGUCGUAAACUCCUGUCAUGGGGGACAAAGGUGUUCCGCUCUAACAGAGCGGGACCUCGAUGGUACCUCAAGAGGAAGCCACGGCUAACUCUGUGCCAGCAGCCGCGGUAAUACAGAGGUGGCGAGCGUUGUUCGGAUUUACUGGGCGUAAAGGGUGCGUAGGCGGUUCGGUAUGUCGGAUGUGAAAUCCCGGGGCUCAACCCCGGAAGUGCAUCCGAAACUGCCGUACUAGAGUGCAGGAGGGGAGAGCGGAAUUCAUGGUGUAGCGGUGAAAUGCGCUGAUAUCAUGAAGAACAUCGGUGGCGUAGGCGGCUCUCUGGAAUGCAACUGACGCUGAGGCACGAAAGCUGGGGGAGCAAACAGGAUUAGAUACCCUGGUAGUCCCAGCUGUAAACGGUGCGCACUUGGCGUGGGGGGUAUUGACCCCCCCCGUGCCGUAGCUAACGCGAUAAGUGCGCCGCCUGGGGAGUACGGCCGCAAAGUUAAAACUCAAAGAAAUUGACGGGGGCCCGCACAAGCGGAGGAGCAUGUGGCUUAAUUCGAUGCAACGCGAAGAACCUUACCUGGGUUUGACAUGCAGCUGCACGUCCCAUGAAAGUGGGAUUCCUUCGAGGGUGCUGCACAGGUGCUGCAUGGCUGUCGUCAGUUCGUGCCGUGAGGUGUUUGGUUAAGUCCAGCAACGAACGCAACCCUUGUGUCUAGUUGCCAGCGGGUGAUGCCGGAACUCUAGGCAGACUGCCCGUAUACGCGGGAGGAAGGUGGUGAUGACGUCAAGUCAGUAUGGCCCUUACGCCCAGGGCUGCACACGUGCUACAAUGGCCGGUACAAUGGGAAGCAAGACCGCGAGGUGGAGCAAAUCCGUAAAACCGGCCUCAGUUCAGAUUGCAGGCUGCAACUCGCCUGCAUGAAGUUGGAUUCGCUAGUAACGGCGCAUCAGCUACGGCGCCGUGAAUACGUUCCCGGGCCUUGUACACACCGCCCGUCACAUCAUGAAAGCCGUCUGCACCCGAAGUCACCAAGCUAACCCGCAAGGGAGGCAGGUGCCGAAGGUGUGGGUGGUGAUUGGGAUGAAGUCGUAACAAGGUA